AAGUAUUCAAAGUAGCUCGUUUCUGACCCGGGGCUUUACGGAUCGUAUUAUCCGCUAAUUCGAAGGAAAUGUCUGAGGCGAUGAGCUCAGUCUGAGACAGAAGGACUGAUUGGACGUUCCAUUCCUCGCGCUUUAAUCUUGGUUAAUAUUAUGCUAUACAAUGAUUUCGAUGUGUUACGCGAUUAGAGAUGUGUCACUAGGCAUAUACUUCAUGGAAAUAUUCGUUGAGAAAAAAAUAAAGUAAUUAAUUAACGUUGUUAUUAAUGACAGACGAAUGACAAGUUGGAACCGGGUUUUUUUGUAUGUUUUACAUAUUUUAAACCACAACCUUUAAACACGUAUAAUAAUAUUAUAACAAUGAAGGCAUCUAUCAAUUUUAAAAUCUAAUGUUAACAUUAUACACAUAAAUUGAAUGCAUCUGUAAUCAGAAUUUAGUUGUGACUGCGUUUCCAUUAAAUCUAUACUUGAUAUCUGGAGUUCAUCUCUUUAAAAAAAGUAGUGGGUUAACAGCAAGUCCCUGUUUAGACAUUUUUGACUUUUUCUAGCAGAGUUCACAUAACAUUAAGCAUAGUAAUGUGUUUGUAUUUGUUCAUAAAAUAUAUAAUCCUAAACGCCUGUAUAGAGCGAUUAUUCAACUGAUUGAAUAAAAUAAACUUAUCUAGUUACGUUAAUGAUGGAAAUCAGGGGUUAAAAAUAUUUGAAAAUUAUGGUAUUAUCCGUUAUUUUAUUAUCUACGGAAUAAUCCUACACGCCUUUGUGUGUGGUCAAAAUGCUGUCGCCACAGACGUCGUUUAUGAUGGAAAAACAAACGUUUUACUAAUCCCG
Non-coding RNA from Cinara cedri, 825 nucleotides. NCBI's taxonomy places the organism in Eukaryota, Metazoa, Arthropoda, Insecta, Hemiptera, Aphididae. The record is from the annotation of a GenBank genome assembly.